GUGACAUUUAUCUUCAAGAGUCAAUUAUUUCCUCUAUGGGUGUUCUUGAGCAAAGAUAUCUAGAACACAUUCUCUAUUAAUUUGGGGGUAUGAAAGUACAAAAACUGUUGGUACAUGUUGGAACCUUUAUCUCUAUAAAUGUAUGUAUCAAAUACUGUCAAAUUAGCAUUUCUUUUCCAGUCUUUGCUCACAUUUAAAUGGUUUCUACUGUAUUGUUCUCAGUGAUGUGCAGCUGGUGGUAUUGAUGAGCCCAGCUACCUGAAGCAAACUUCCUCCACUUUUUUUGCAAGAAAAAGAAGUUUAGAGGAAUGCAUUUUGCAGCAUUAUAUGGAAUUUUCCUGUGCAUCUAUCCAGUUACGGAUGGUUACCCAUGCUCCAGAGAUGUCCACUCUCCAAUUAGGAGCACCCUAUUCUUUCAGUGCCUGAGCCAAACCCCAAAGCACUGAAAGGGAGAGUAGAGCUGUGAGUGCCUAGAGGUUGCUACUCUUCACUGUAUCUGUUUUAUCCACUUGUGAAAACUGGUUGGAACAUACGGAUACUUUCCAAGAGUUCUUCAUGCUACUUGAAGAAGGAUUUCCUAAGCAGUAGGUAACAAGGAUAUCACUGGCGGUUUUUAAGCUUGUUCAAAGUGGCUCACUGAAAAACAAACAUACAAAACCUCACAACAAAAGAAAUCUGUUUCGAGUACCUAGCUGACAUGUGCUGCAGGGAACUGAAAAAGCACAAGGCUGAGAAUGUAUCAUCCUGUCAGCUUUGUCAUAACCAGAAUAGUACUUGUCGCUUGUGGAUAUAGUUUUAGUGUAGCUCUGCUGGCCUGUGCUGACCCUUUUCUAUGAGCCAUGCAGCUCAAGAAGAGCUUGAAAGGUUCCAGCAUGGUGUCAGUGCUCGAUUGCCCAUAAAGCCACUUAAAAGCAGAUACAAAACCUGCAGUAGGAACUGCUAAGGUCAAUGGACUCACCCCUUCUUUUCCACCCCAAGUAUUUCAAAACUAGCACUUUUUUGUUUUCUGGAGCAUGAAUUGUGUCAAAAGAGAACAAAUGUAUUACUUUACAUUCAUGUCAUCUUUUUUAUUGUUUUAGUCUUUUACUCUAAAGGUCUGGGGUUUAAAAGGUUUAAAACACCCAUUUAUUGGAGGAGAGUUUGUUUUAGAGUUACCAUACUAAAGAAGAAGGGAAUAUCUAAUCCAGUUCUUAUGCAGGAAAGGAAAAUUGUGUAAAAUUAGAGAAUGAAGUUCAAGCGUACAAAAUCAUGAUUCUUAUUCUAGGUCUGCAGCUACAAUACUGUGCUUUGUGAUGACUCAUUCAACAUUCCUUUACUUAGUCUGCCUGUUGUAAUAUGGUAAAAAUGACAAUAUUUCAUGAAUGUGUACUGACUAAAAAUAAUAAUAAUUCACAUCUUUAUAUCAACACAGUGGCAGAGUAUAGUUGUUUUGUUUAAAGAGUAAAAACUGUGGGAUUUGUUGCAAAUUUUCCCUUUGAUUAAAUAAACUUUUCUGGAUAUGUUGCAAGAAAAUGUUUUGGACAGUCCUUAUGGUCUAGAACACCUUGCUUGUAACAACUUUUAGAAACAUUUGGUAUGUGAUCUUGGCUUGCUCUCAUAACAACUUCGGUGAAGAUGCUUAUCGUUCUUAUUACUAUUAUUAUUUUUAUAUAGCUGAUUAAAUGUCAUAACACUUAGAAAUGAAUGUUCCAUUUAAUUAUAAUAGAAGGACAGCUAUUAGGUGUAGUGAUGACUGUUCUUUAUUCCACUGGCUUUGAAGUUUAACUCCACCCUACAAAGCACCUUCUUCCUGCUUUAUAACCAUAAUUCCCUCUGUAAAAUGCUUGCACAAGAUUUCUGUGUAUUGACACCCAUUCAAAA
Molecule: long non-coding RNA, 1860 nt
Filed under: Cairina moschata (Muscovy duck)
Lineage: Eukaryota; Metazoa; Chordata; Aves; Anseriformes; Anatidae
Description: domestica (muscovy Duck (domestic type)) lncRNA (ENSCMMG00000012256.1)
Source: RNAcentral